This is a long non-coding RNA of Hyaena hyaena (striped hyena), 1261 nucleotides long. RefSeq lists it as uncharacterized. Lineage: Eukaryota; Metazoa; Chordata; Mammalia; Carnivora; Hyaenidae. The record is from RefSeq and is a predicted model, not a curated record. The transcript has 4 exons.
ACGCUGCAAACGCCUGCACCAAGUCACGGCGCCGACGGCGGAGUAGGCGACGGUGCACAGAGGCGACUGACUCGCGUUUGCCUGAGCGUCCGUCUAAAUGUAACUUCCGACACCAUAGUGGCUCUUAGGCAUUCUCCUCUGCAAGGUGGGACUCCGCACUUACCUUGCAGUGAAAAGUCAACGGGGUCACAAUCACAGCCAAGAGAAUCUCUGAAGGACAAACAACGGCAAAACUCCAUGCAAAGAGGACGUCACGCACAGCUGUGAUGCCAGAUGAAUACUGAAAGUGACGUUUGGACCACUUUACACAUGCCGCUUCUAGAUCACCUGGUGAUAUGGCUGUCCAUCGGGAAGCCCAGGAAAAGCAGCAGCAAGGAGGGAGGAUUGAUUCUUCCAGGCUUGGGAGUACUAAGCUGGGAAUGUGGGCAGGCGAUAUGGUAGAACGUUCUGGAGCACUAGCAAGAACAAGCCGGGGCAGCAGAGAGCAAGUGAACAGAGACCUAGAGAAAAGGAGAGGUGGAGAGCGUCCACAGUGCGAGAAGACAGGGUCCAGCAGCAAAGGCGGUGACUCUAACAUGUUUGGAGGUAAGAGCAGCACCUGAAUCUUACGUAAAAUGAGGGGCCACUGAAGCAUGUCAGGCAGUCCUAAAGGGAUGCAGUUAACAAGCAACAGACCUGCAGGAAAUUCUAUAGGACUAUCUAAACCACACCAAGAAGACCCCACUUCUUCAACAAGUACAUUUUAAGGGUGAACAAAGGGAAGGGGUAACCAGUGGGUCAGAAAAGAUUUAAGAGAUGUUAUCAGCUCCCUGUAGAUAUGGACCCUAUGGGUCAUGCAAACUGUUAAAAAAAUAUGGACACAACGGUAGGGAUUUGAACAUUUCUAAAUAUUUGACGAUGUUAAGAUGUUGUUUUGAGGUGUGAUCAUCGUAUUGUGCUGUCUCUAGAAAGAGUCUGUAUGUUUUGGAAAUUCACCGAAAAAAAUGUAAUGAUAUGAAAUAAUUUUGCAUCAAGAGAGUCCACAGAAGAGGUACACAGGGGUAGGGGACAGACAAAUUAGGACUACCUACUGAAGUGGUAACUGUUGAACCUGGUUAUGGAAAUAUGAGGAUCAUUCUAGCCUCGAUGCUUGUGUGUACCUCAAGUAUUCUAUAAUAAAACGUUUAAGAAAUUCUCUAAAAGCAGCACCACACAUAACUUACAUGGUAAAAACCAUAUGUGAUGUGUUACAAACUGCAUGAGUGCUUAAUAAAAACCGGUG